RNAcentral lists this ribosomal RNA (304 nucleotides) under uncultured bacterium. Its description in RNAcentral is "partial 16S ribosomal RNA". It matches the Rfam family "Bacterial small subunit ribosomal RNA", at positions 509 to 807 of the family's 1533-position model. The record is from RNAcentral.
CAGCAGUCGCCGCGGGAAUACGUAGGUGGCAAGCGUUGUCCGGAAUUAUUGGGCGUAAAGGGCUCGCAGGCGGUUUCUUAAGUCUGAUGUGAAAGCCCCCGGCUCAACCGGGGAGGGUCAUUGGAAACUGGGAAACUUAAGUGCAGAAGAGGAGAGUGGAAUUCCACGUGUAGCGGUGAAAUGCGUAGAGAUGUGGAGGAGCACCAGUGGCGAAGGCGACUCUCUGGUCUGUAACUGACGCUGAGGAGCGAAAGCGUGGGGAGCGAACAGGAUUAGAUACCCCUGUAGUCCCUGUCUCUUAUAC